CAGCAUGUUAGAGUCACCUGGGUGAUGGGAGGCGGUACCCAGACGUUAGUGAGGGAAUAAACUCCCCAGGUGUUUCCAAUAUACAUCCAAGGCCCUCUAAACCACAAGUUCAAUUGCUUCUGGCUACACCCGUGGAAGCCACGGCGUAGGUACAGACCAGCCCAAAUGAACAUCAGUGAAGAGGAGCCCUGGAAGUCCCUUGAUUUCCGAGGGUCACACCUUGUGCAUGGACUGGAGUUUCAAUUCUCAAGUUUCUUUAAACGUCUCAACAUCUCCAACACCUCCACAAUACGCAGCUGAUAUGCUAACAGAGUAUUUCCCCCAAGAAGACAUUAAAGAUGUUCUGCAUAGUCUUAACUGGAAGCAGUAACUUGCAGUGGGUGGCUUUGAACUCCUUAUAGUUCUGAGAAGAGACUCCAGAGAGAGAAUUUAUGUGAGUGUUCAUAGGGUCAUUUUCUAAAAUCCAAAUAUCAUCAAGGCACUCUUUUUUUUUUUUUUCCAAUUUUUUAGAAAACAGAAACUAACCAUUGUCACUUCCUAUGUGUCAGGAACCAUAUUUAUUACAGGGCUAGUGUUCUAAAGUGGGGUACUUUUACCUCCGUGGUUGCUCUUGAUAUCUCUGUUGGUAAUUCAUCACCAAACAGUCGGCUUUGGUAACUAAAGCAAACUCUACCGGAAGGUCUAGUAGGGUCUCUGCUAUUUAUGUCACACUGUUCCGGUAACCAAAUAAUUUUAUCUCAUAUCACUGAGGAAACAUUCAUUUUGAUGAUUACCAGGGUUUAUGCCAACUGUCACAAGUCUGUAAGAGCUAUCGCUUCGACUAGCGAUAUGAAUAAUUUUAGGAAGAUGGGAGGAAAAUGACCAAUUUUAGACGAUCACUAUUUCCUUUGUUUUAGCCUCUGCCACAAAAAUAAAGUCGAUGUACUAGCCUGGGAGACCAGCCUUAGAACAGCACAAGUUCUCUGGGAAACACAUGGAAAAGGUUUCAUCAGGCGCCGAUCCCUGAACUAUACUGGGAGGAUCACUAA
Long non-coding RNA from Sus scrofa (pig), 1028 nucleotides. RefSeq lists it as uncharacterized. The record is from RefSeq and is a predicted model, not a curated record. Lineage: Eukaryota; Metazoa; Chordata; Mammalia; Artiodactyla; Suidae.